RNAcentral lists this ribosomal RNA (443 nucleotides) under uncultured bacterium. RNAcentral's name for it is "partial 16S ribosomal RNA". It matches the Rfam family "Bacterial small subunit ribosomal RNA", at positions 338 to 795 of the family's 1533-position model. The record is from RNAcentral.
CCUACGGGUGGCUGCAGUGGGGAAUAUUGGGCAAUGGGCGCAAGCCUGACCCAGCAACGCCGCGUGAGGGAAGAAGGCUUUCGGGUUGGAAACUUCUUUUCUGAGGGACGAAGAAAGUGACGGUACCUCAGGAAUAAGCCACGGCUAACUACGUGCCAGCAGCCGCGGUAAUACGUAGGUGGCAGGCGUUAUCCGGAUUUGAUGGGUGUAAAGGGCUUGUAGGCGGGAAAGCAAGUCCGGUGUGAAAAUUCAGGGCUCAACCCUGAGCCUGGCUUUGAAACUGUUGUUCUUGAGUGCUGGAGAGGCAAUCGGAAUGCCGUGUGUAGCGGUGAAAUGCGUAGAUAUACGGAGGAACACCAGUGGCGAAGGCAGAAUGCUGGACAGUAACUGACGCUGAGGCGCGAAAGCGUGGGGAGCAAACAGGAUUAGAUACCCCAGUAGUC